GAAAAACAAAGAAGAGAAGAAGAAGCAGAGCCGGUCUGGAAGAAGCGCGGAAAAGAAAGUGAGAGAACCUGGAGAAGGAGGAGGAGGAGGAGAGGCUGAGAAGACGGCGGGGCAGAGUCGAAGUGAGCAGCAUCGCCUACAAACUAUAGAAAAGAGCGGGAGAGCCAGUUCGCCGGCUGGUUGAGACCUGUUGCAGGCUCGGAAAGCAAAGCUGUCUGCCGGUGCUGAAGACAGAGCUGGUGGCCCAAUGAACUGUAUUAAAAAACACAGCAAAUCCAGAAAACACAAAGAGAAAGAAUCCUGUGAACGUGUGUUUUCCAAGGUAAAUCUAAUGAAAACAAAACCACCAAACCGACUUAUCACAGGCGCCCUUAAUGGGCUCAUGCACACAUCAGAGAGUGUGAAGAUGGCAGGUGGAUGUGCCGGUUUGAAGCCAACAACCACAAUGCUGCGGUCCAUGACAACAUGAGAUGUAAACAGUAAGAGGACUGCCCCCACCCAGCAGGGUGCAGCAGACUCAGACAGGGACUCACAGCUGGAGACUGAACCUGAAGAAAACUGCCAAAGGCGGAGACGUGACGUGACGCAGCCCGGACAGCUGAUGGAGACCGAGGCGAUCAGGGCUACACACCACUUAGUGUUUGUCCACAUUAGAUGUUGGACUUUUGCUUCACUCGGAACAAACACCUGUAGCCCUUGGCCUGUUGUCUGCUGUGCUUCCCUCUUUUCCAGGUUAUUAUACAGCAGGUUCUAUAUGCACUUUAUUUGAAGUUAUAUGCUGUUAAGUGCUGUUUUUGUUGAUUUUCUGAGUUGUUGUCAUUUUUGAGGACAGAGACAUGUUGUUGCUCUGAAAAUAAAAUGUAACAUGUGAAGCCAGAUCUUUAUUUUCUUGUCAGUUAUCAUGAAUACUGUUUCUCUUUGUCUCUCUGCCUGUUAGACGCUGUUCAACACUAGAGUGACUGUAGCGCAUCAAUACACUUGUUAUUUUGGUUAUGACGGCUGUCCGAUCAUUUCCCUCCAAAUACGAUCAUUUGAUGUCUGUGGUACGAUAAUCCUACAUUUCCCAGCUGGCAACGCGGGUUCAGUGAGUUGUUGAGUUGGAGCCACUUUAUAAACUGUGUGAAACUCUGUCUCUGACUCAUUCUGCAUUAUUUGGCCCUUGUUGAUAAUUCAGCAGCUGUUCUACAUGAAGAAUGUUUUCCUGUGUGUCCGAGUGAUGUUGGUGUUCAGCAGGAGGUGACAGAUGUUGACACCGGGUCUGAGCCUCCUCUCGCUCCUUUCAUUACAAACCAAGCCGCCAUUUCUACUAAUUCUCCACUUUGAUUGACAUCUUCCUUUAAUUCAUCUCAAUACUGAUAUUCAAUACUUCACUUUCUCACAAGAUCCCAGAAAAACACACCAACAUUUUUCUCCUUGAUGCAGUUUUUUAAAAUCCUUUUUAUAAGUCUGUCACUCAGUGCCUGUUCUGUCUGAAUGUACUUUUUGCAAAUGAUAAAUAAAAACUUUCAUUGAAAAAAACCCAAA
Molecule: long non-coding RNA, 1524 nt
Organism: Acanthopagrus latus (yellowfin seabream)
Lineage: Eukaryota; Metazoa; Chordata; Actinopteri; Spariformes; Sparidae
Exons: 2
Source: RefSeq, a predicted model, not a curated record